GGGAGAGGAGGAGAGGCAGGUCUCGGUGUUGUGAUAGGAAGAGAGGCAAGUCUCUGUGUUGUGAUAGGAGGAGAGGCAGGUCUCUGUGUUGUGAUAGGAGGAGAGGCAGGUCUCUGUGAUAGGAGGAGGGGCAGGUCUCAGUGUUGUGAUAGGAGGAGAGGCAGGUCUCAGUGUUGUGAUAGGAGGAGAGGCAGGUCUCUGUGUUGUGAUAGGAGGAGAGGCAGGUCUCUGUGUUGUGAUAGGAGGAGAGGCAGGUCUCUGUGUUGUGAUAGGAGGAGAGGCAGGUCUCUGUGUUGUGAUAGGAGGAGAGGCAGGUCUCUGUUGUGAUAGGAGGAGAGGCAGGUCUCUGUUGUGAUAGGAGGAGAGGCAGGUCUCUGUUGUGAUAGGAGGAGAGGCAGGUCUCUGUUGUGAUAGGAGGAGAGGCAGGUAUCUGUUGUGAUAGGAGGAGAGGCAGGUCUCUGUUGUGAUAGGAGGAGAGGCAGGUCUCUGUUGUGAUAGGAGGAGAGGCCGGUCUCUGUUGUGAUAGGAGGAGAGGCCGGUCUCUGUUGUGAUAGGAGGAGAGGCCGGUCUCUGUUGUGAUAGGAGGAGAGGCCGGUCUCUGUUGUGAUAGGAGGAGAGGCCGUUCUCUGUUUUGAUAGGAGGAGA
This is a long non-coding RNA of Oncorhynchus keta (chum salmon), 645 nucleotides long. RefSeq lists it as uncharacterized. The transcript has 3 exons. NCBI's taxonomy places the organism in Eukaryota, Metazoa, Chordata, Actinopteri, Salmoniformes, Salmonidae. The record is from RefSeq and is a predicted model, not a curated record.